GCAGAGUAGGAGCAAAAGCGUUAAGUGCCUGAUAAACAGGAAGUUGUUAUCAGGACGAAAAGUUUUCUUGCGAUUUUUGUUCCGCAUUCCGCUGC
Molecule: non-coding RNA, 95 nt
Filed under: bovine gut metagenome
Description: THF riboswitch
Rfam family: THF (Tetrahydrofolate) riboswitch aptamer
About the family: THF riboswitch presents a pseudoknot that joins P1-P2 and the loop of P3 and two THF binding.
Source: RNAcentral